Fragaria vesca subsp. vesca is the source of this 4100-nucleotide RNA transcript. It is a transcript of the gene named glutamate receptor 3.3-like, with no coding region annotated. The record is from RefSeq and is a predicted model, not a curated record. The transcript has 7 exons. NCBI's taxonomy places the organism in Eukaryota, Viridiplantae, Streptophyta, Magnoliopsida, Rosales, Rosaceae.
AACCCCAGCAAAGCAAGCAAGUGAAAUUCUCAUAUUCCUUUACCGCACGUGAAAUAUCUGCUUUCAGAUGUCAUCUAUGUUGUGCAAAAUGUUCCAAUCAGUGUUAUAUCUUCCAAACCUCCCAUGUUGUUGCUGUAGCCACUCUUUCUCCCCAAAAAGGAAAUUCCUAGAUUCCUCUCUGCUUCUAUUUCUUCUUUCAGAUGAUGCAGUACUGUGCUCAUCUCAAACUGAGAGCUUUGAUGGGCAGUUCUUGGUGCUCAUGAUUCAAUUGGGGAUGCAGUGAGGAUGUUGUCAUUUAAGAUGGAAUUGGUUUGGGUUUGUCCCUUGGUGGUUCUUUAUCUUGGGGUGUUCUCAUUUGGGUCUAGUAAGAAUGUUUCUUCAAGACCAGCUGUGGUCAACAUUGGAGCUCUUUUCACGAUGGACUCUACGAUUGGUAAAGUUGCCAAGAUUGCUAUUGAGGAAGCGGUGAAAGAUGUGAACUCCAAUUUCAGCAUUCUCCAUGGGACCAAACUUGUUGUGAAAAUGCAGAAUACCAAUUGCAGUGGGUUUCUUGGAAUGGUUGAAGCUUUGCAAUUCAUGGAGACUGAUAUCGUCGCCAUUAUAGGCCCACAAUCUUCUGUAGUUGCACAUAUUGUAUCCCAUGUUGCAAAUGAACUCCAAGUACCACUAUUGUCAUUUGCAGCCACAGACCCAACUCUCUCAUCCCUUCAGUUCCCAUAUUUUAUUAGGACAACACAGAGUGAUUUGUAUCAAAUGACUGCAGUUGCACAAAUUGUUGAUCAUUAUGGGUGGAGAGAUGUUAUUGCCAUUUUUGUAGACGAUGAUUACGGCCGUAAUGGCAUAUCAGCUUUAGAUGAUAAACUUGCUGAGAGACGCUGUAAAAUUUCAUACAAGUUGGCAAUUCCCCCUGGACCGGCAGCUAAUCGGAGUGACAUCAUGGAUCUGCUUAUUAAGGUUGCCUUAUUGGAAUCUCGAGUUAUAGUUCUUCAUGUGAAUGCUGAUUCAGGUUUCAUGGUUCUUGCUGUGGCACAGUAUCUUAAAAUGACGGGUGAUGGUUUUGUAUGGAUAGCUACAGAUUGGCUUUCAUCUGUUUUAGAUUCUGCUUUUCCUCUUCCUUCUGAAAUUAUGGAUACAUUGCAAGGAGUUCUUGUUUUGCGGCUACAUACACCAGAUUCAGAUAGAAAGAGGGCCUUCUUUUCUAAGUGGAACAAGAUAACUGGUGGUUCUCUGGGACUGCAUACUUAUGGGCUUCAUGCUUAUGAUUCUGUUUGGCUGGUAGCUCAUGCUAUUGAUGCUUUUUUCAACCAGGGUGGGGUUAUUUCAUUCUCUAAUGAUUCUAGGAUAGAAGCUGUAGAACAAGGUGGUAGCCUUCACCUUGACGCAAUGAGCAUUUUUGAUGAUGGACCACUCCUGUUGAAGAACAUAUUGCAAAGUAACCUUGUUGGUUUGACAGGUCCCAUCAAGUUUGAUUCAGAAAGGGCUCUUGCUCUUCCAGCAUAUGAUAUUAUUAAUGUGGUUGGAACUGGGUUUCGACGAAUUGGUUACUGGUCCAACUAUUCUGGGUUAUCAACUGUACCUCCUGAGACUCUCUAUUCAAAGCCAGCUAAUCGUUCCAGUGCAAAUCAACAGUUAUAUAGUGUUGUCUGGCCAGGGGAGACAUUAACGAAGCCCCGUGGUUGGGUUUUCCCAAACGAUGGGAAACUCUUGAGAAUUGGUGUGCCUAUUCGGGUCAGUUACCGGGAAUUUGUAAUGCCAGUUCAGGGAACUGAUACUUUCAAGGGUUUCUGCAUAGAUGUAUUCAAUGCUGCUGUAAACUUGUUGCCAUAUGCUGUUCCAUGCAAGUUUAUCCCUUUUGGAGAUGGUCUGAAAAAUCCAAGCUACACAGAGCUUGUGAUAUCUAUCACAACUGGGGUCUUUGAUGCUGCUAUUGGUGACAUUGCCAUUGUUACAAAUCGAACGAAGAUUGUGGAUUUUACACAGCCAUAUGCUGCAUCUGGACUUGUUGUUGUGGCCCCCUUUAAAAAAAUGAAUUCUGGUGCUUGGGCCUUCCUUCGACCAUUUACGGCACACAUGUGGAUAGUCACUGCUGCUUCCUUUCUUGUUAUUGGUAUAGUUGUAUGGAUUUUGGAGCAUAGGAUGAAUGAUGAAUUCAGGGGUCCACCUAAGAAGCAACUUAUAACUAUCUUGUGGUUUAGCCUCUCAACUCUAUUCUUUGCCCAUAGAGAGAACACUGUGAGCACCCUUGGUCGAGUAGUGCUACUUAUAUGGCUAUUUGUGGUUUUGAUAAUCAACUCUAGCUACACUGCUAGUCUGACAUCAAUCCUCACAGUACAGCAGCUAUCUUCUCCUAUCAAAGGAAUUGAAAGUUUGAAAAACAGUGGUGAGCCAAUCGGGUAUCAAGUGGGUUCCUUUGCUGAGCAUUAUUUGAGUGAGGAGCUCGGCAUAUCCAAGUCCAGGCUCAUUGCCCUUGGCUCUCCUCUAGCCUAUGCUGAGGCACUUCAGCUUGGUCCUAAAAAGGGAGGUGUUGCUGCGGUGGUUGAUGAACGUCCUUAUGUUGAGCUAUUCCUCUCAACACAGUGCAAGUUUCGGGUUGUAGGUCAAGAGUUCACGAAAAGCGGCUGGGGUUUUGCAUUUCCACGAGAUUCUCCUUUAGCUGUUGACAUUUCAACUGCAAUUCUACAAUUAUCGGAGAAUGGUGAUCUGCAACGGAUCCAUGAUAAAUGGUUGAUGCAAAGCUCUUGCAGUUUUGAGAGCACUGAAAUUGAAUCAGACCAGCUUCAACUCAGAAGCUUUUGGGGCCUCUUUCUCAUAUGUGGAAUUGCUUGCUUCAUUGCUCUCCUUGUAUAUUUUUUGCAAAUUAUGAACAAGCUACGUCAUGCUGACCCACCUCAGAGUGUUUUAACUAGUCCUGGUGUCUCACAAUCUGGGCGACUCCGGCGAUUUUUAUCAAUAAUUGAUAAAAAGGCUGACCAGUCCAAUAGUGGAAGUAAAAAAGGAAAGUUAUUAGAUCACUAUCCGACAACGAUAAAGAUGGUAAGUUGGGUUGGACUCCCAAGAAGAAACAAGCAGAAAUGACUGAUAUGGGCGAGGGUGACAUCAAGUCCAGCAGUUAACUCAUUGGUAGAUCAUCACAAUUGUACCAUUACAGGUAAGUUAUAAUAUGAGUAUCUGACCAUACCUAAUUAUGCCAUAGUAGCUACUAGUGUACUCUGAAUCACUGAUUCUAAGAACAUGUGCUGAACAAUAUUGAUUCAUGGAAUUUAUGGAAUCUAGUUGCUAGUGUAAAGCAUAUAUUAUAUACUCUGCCUAUUGACCGCAAUAAUUAACUAUUUUAUAUUCGGAGAAGAAAUUCAUUUGGUGUUUGGUUGUCUCAUAUUUUGGACAAGCGUUGAGUCCAGUUUCACUCCUUACUGUUAUUAAGUUGAACAUUCUGAUGUAGAACCAAAAGGAAAAGAUAAACAAAAAGUUCACUGGUAAAUGGUUCAGUUCCUUGCAGACGUUUUUUUUCGUCUUGUUUUGUUUUUUGUUAUGUUAAGUAGUGAGUGCAGAGUUAUAGAGUUCAAAAGAAUUAGGAUAUCUGCAAUGGUAUAGAUUUUUCUUGGUAAUAGGCCAAGUUGAUAUAACUUUGAGAUUGAGUAAAUUGGACGAUAGUACCGGAGGAAAUUUCAAUUUUAAGAGAAUUGAUUAUCUAUUUAUACUUUGGAUUUCUUUUAACUUACCAAAUAGAAAACACCUUUCCUCUCCUAGAAAUUCAUUUGCUCGCAAAUAUAGUAUAUGAGCUUUGAAUGACAUGAUUGAUUCCUUUCUUCCCUUUGAAAUUGAAGACCAAAAGCAGUAACAAUUAUCGUGGGUGUGGCAAGCAUUUGUAGGGAUAUCUGUUAGGUUCUGUGAUAGUACGACUAUGAAAAAUCACAUUUCUGUCAUACACAGCUUCUAUACUGCACGUUUUCAUAAGAUUUGUUAGGUUCUGGGAAAGCAUGGUCAUGAAGUAUUACUGUACUUUUAUGACAUUGCUGUAUGUGUUACAGGUCAGUUCUUAUGCUUAGCAAGUGAUUAGUUCAUCUUAAACUCUAAUUCAAUUAUUACCAAUCCUAUUUUAG